UAGGUUUUGUUUUAGGGAACAAUUGCUGUUUAGUGCUACUUUUGGUUUUAAUUCCUCGUUUUAAUUUAUUAUGCCUUUGCCCACUUAUUUGACACUGUCUGAAAGGAAUAUCAUAAGUGGUCGUGGGCCCACUGGUUGGGAUACUCAAAUCCCAUGUAGUAGGAAUACUACCAAUCCACUGCGCGCAUGUUGUUUUUUUGUUUCUUAAAGUUUU
RNAcentral lists this long non-coding RNA (214 nucleotides) under Lathyrus oleraceus (garden pea). RNAcentral describes it as "Pisum sativum (pea) long non-coding RNA (PSAT_LNC011018)". The record is from RNAcentral. Lineage: Eukaryota; Viridiplantae; Streptophyta; Magnoliopsida; Fabales; Fabaceae.